This 24-nucleotide non-coding RNA is filed under the name Cricetulus griseus (Chinese hamster). The record is from RNAcentral. Lineage: Eukaryota; Metazoa; Chordata; Mammalia; Rodentia; Cricetidae.
ACACACAUUACAAAAAGGAGUAGA